RNAcentral lists this ribosomal RNA (908 nucleotides) under uncultured bacterium. RNAcentral describes it as "bacterial SSU rRNA". It matches the Rfam family "Bacterial small subunit ribosomal RNA", at positions 33 to 932 of the family's 1533-position model. The record is from RNAcentral.
ACGCUGGCUACAGGCUUAACACAUGCAAGUCGUGGGGAAACGGCAUUAUGUGCUUGCACAUUCUGGACGUCGACCGGCGCACGGGUGAGUAUCGCGUAUCCAACCUGCCCCUUACUUGGGGAUACCCCGUUGAAAGACGGCCUAAUACCCGAUGUGUUUCAUUGACGGCAUCCGAUAUGAAACAAAGGUUUUCCGGUAAGGGAUGGGGAUGCGUCUGAUUAGCUUGUUGGCGGGGCAACGGCCCACCAAGGCGACGAUCAGUAGGGGUUCUGAGAGGAAGGUCCCCCACAUCGGAACUGAGACACGGUCCAAACUCCUACGGGAGGCAGCAGUGAGGAAUAUUGGUCAAUGGACGCAAGUCUGAACCAGCCAAGUAGCGUGCAGGAUGACGGCCCUAUGGGUUGUAAACUGCUUUUAUGUGGGAAUAAAGUGGCGCACGUGUGCGCCAUUGCAUGUACCUCAUGAAUAAGGACCGGCUAAUUCCGUGCCAGCAGCCGCGGUAAUACGGAAGGUCCGGGCGUUAUCCGGAUUUAUUGGGUUUAAAGGGAGUGUAGGCGGUCUGUUAAGCGUGUUGUGAAAUUUAGGUGCUCAACAUUUAACUUGCAGCGCGAACUGUCAGACUUGAGUACACGCAGCGCAGGCGGAAUUCAUGGUGUAGCGGUGAAAUGCUUAGAUAUCAUGAGGAACUCCGAUCGCGAAGGCAGCCUGCGGGAGUGUUACUGACGCUUAAGCUCGAAGGUGCGGGUAUCGAACAGGAUUAGAUACCCUGGUAGUCCGCACAGUAAACGAUGGAUGCCCGCCGUUGGCGCCCUGCGCCUGCGGCCAAGCGAAAGCAUUAAGCAUCCCACCUGGGGAGUACGCCGGCAACGGUGAAACUCAAAGGAAUUGACGGGGGCCCGCACAAGCGG